UUUGAUCUCAUUCCUUCUCUGUCUAUUUAUUCCCAAGUGCAUUAUAACAUGCUGAUUCUAAACUGACAUUUUCUUUUCUUUUUGGUCAUGUAGAAGACAAAAUCCUGGUGAGGCUGUGCUAACAGAAAGGAUGUUUCUGUCUCUAUUAUCUUUUCUAGUUAACUGUGUUACCUGUAGCCUUUGUGGGUACAGGUGAGCACAGGAGCCUCCUCACUGAAAGCACACAUCCAGUUUUGACACCAUAAUUCCAUUGUCACCUCUGUGACAGCAGGUAAGAAAAUCUGAGGCUCCUGGCAAAGCAAGUUGCACAUAUAAGCACUGUCAAAUUAAUUUUUCCUGAGAAGAUGAGAGGCCUAGGCUUUGGGUGCUGGAAAUGGGGUAAAAUACAUCAAUAUUUAAUUACUUUUGAGUUCACAUUGCGUGUGGAUAGAAGGAAAUAACUGGAAUUUCUAAACCAAAGAAGAUGAUUGGUAAUGGACAAGAAUUUUCUCUACGUGAACAUAAAGAAAGGGUGGUAGUUGUGGAAAAAUAACCUGGAUUUGGGCAUGGUGUGGAUGUGUGGGAAGAAAGAAGGAAUGGAAAAAGAAAUGAAGAGCACAUCAAAGAGAUGUCUGUACUAUCCCCUUUCCACAGGUGGAAAAACUGAGGCAGAGAAGCAAUUUACACAAAUUCCGCUUUCACUUGUCAUCAUCAGAGCCAAAAAUUUCUACCUCCCAGUCCUAAACACGAACCACAAGGCUUUUCCUCUGUCCUAUUAUAUCUGUUAUUUGUUUCACCUUGUUUUCAGUUUUGAGAGCUCCUCUGAUCUACAUAAACAUGUUGAAACACAGAGUGAUUCAGGUGCCUACAGCUGUGAUGUUGGAGGAUGUGGUUUCAUUUCAUGGACUUCACCAACUUUGAGACAGCACUGCAAGACAGGCUUUUACAACUGUGAAAAUCUUGUCACUGAUGCUGUUAGAAGAAAUUUUUUUAGCCCUGCAAGUUGAAUCCACAGAAGAGAGUACAGAAAUAUAUGAAUGGCUUCUGCAGUUUAAACAAGCUGUUCCUUCCAUUUUGGGAUGAGAAAAUCCAACAAAUAAAAUAUUAAUAUGAAUAUCUAUCUCCUAAUUU
Molecule: long non-coding RNA, 1110 nt
Filed under: Cyanistes caeruleus (blue tit)
Lineage: Eukaryota; Metazoa; Chordata; Aves; Passeriformes; Paridae
Description: lncRNA (ENSCCEG00000017154.1)
Source: RNAcentral